This 497-nucleotide ribosomal RNA is filed under the name uncultured bacterium. RNAcentral's name for it is "partial 16S ribosomal RNA". It matches the Rfam family "Bacterial small subunit ribosomal RNA", at positions 28 to 507 of the family's 1533-position model. The record is from RNAcentral.
GAUGAACGCUGGCGGCGUGCCUAAUACAUGCAAGUCGAGCGAACGGACGAUAAGCUUGCUUCUCUGAUGUUAGCGGCGGACGGGUGAGUAACACGUGGAUAACCUACCUAUAAGACUGGGAUAACUUCGGGAAACCGGAGCUAAUACCGGAUAAUAUUUUGAACCGCAUGGUUCAAAAGUGAAAGACGGUCUUGCUGUCACUUAUAGAUGGAUCCGCGCUGCAUUAGCUAGUUGGUAAGGUAACGGCUUACCAAGGCAACGAUGCAUAGCCGACCUGAGAGGGUGAUCGGCCACACUGGAACUGAGACACGGUCCAGACUACUACGGGAGGCAGCAGUAGGGAAUCUUACGCAAUGGGCGAAAGCCUGACGGAGCAGCGCCGCGUGAGUGAUGAAGGUCUUCGGAUCGUAAAACUCUGUUAUUAGGGAAGAACAUAUGUGUAAGUAACUGUGCACAUCUUGACGGUACCUAAUCAGAAAGCCACGGCUAACUACGUG